AGGAUGAACGCUGGCGGUCUGCUUAACACAUGCAAGUCGAACGGAGUACCUCGGUACUUAGUGGCGGACGGGUGAGUAACGCGUGAGAAUCUGCCCUUAGGUCGGGGACAACCAUUGGAAACGAUGGCUAAUACCGGAUAAGCCGAGAGGUAAAAGAUUAAUUGCCUAGGGAAGAGCUCGCGUCUGAUUAGCUAGUUGGUGAGGUAAAGGCUCACCAAGGCAUCGAUCAGUAGCUGGUCUGAGAGGAUGAUCAGCCACACUGGGACUGAGACACGGUCCAGACUCCUACGGGAGGCAGCAGUGGGGAAUAUUGGACAAUGGGCGCAAGCCUGAUCCAGCCAUGCCGCGUGUGUGAAGAAGGCCCUCGGGUUGUAAAGCACUUUUAUCAGGAACGAAAUACCGCGGGUUAAUAACCUACGGGGCUGACGGUACCUGAGGAAUAAGCACCGGCUAACUUCGUGCCAGCAGCCG
Molecule: ribosomal RNA, 471 nt
Filed under: uncultured bacterium
Lineage: Bacteria
Description: SSU rRNA
Rfam family: Bacterial small subunit ribosomal RNA
Source: RNAcentral